GCCUCGAUGGCGUAGUGGUCAAAACGCUAGCCUGGCAAGCAGGAGGGCGUGGGUUCGAUCCCAGCCGAGGCA
Molecule: transfer RNA, 72 nt
Filed under: Diaphorina citri (Asian citrus psyllid)
Lineage: Eukaryota; Metazoa; Arthropoda; Insecta; Hemiptera; Psyllidae
Rfam family: tRNA
About the family: Transfer RNA (tRNA) molecules are approximately 80 nucleotides in length.
Source: Rfam by way of RNAcentral